Molecule: ribosomal RNA, 155 nt
Filed under: Origanum majorana
Lineage: Eukaryota; Viridiplantae; Streptophyta; Magnoliopsida; Lamiales; Lamiaceae
Description: 5.8S ribosomal RNA
Rfam family: 5.8S ribosomal RNA
About the family: 5.8S ribosomal RNA (5.8S rRNA) is a component of the large subunit of the eukaryotic ribosome. It is transcribed by RNA polymerase I as part of the 45S precursor that also contains 18S and 28S rRNA. Functionally, it is thought that 5.8S rRNA may be involved in ribosome translocation.
Source: RNAcentral
CUCGCCAACGGAUAUCUCGGCUCUCGCAUCGAUGAAGAACGUAGCGAAAUGCGAUACUUGGUGUGAAUUGCAGAAUCCCGUGAACCAUCGAGUCUUUGAACGCAAGUUGCGCCCGAAGCCAUUAGGCUGAGGGCACGUCUGCCUGGGCGCCACGC